Molecule: long non-coding RNA, 1392 nt
Organism: Numida meleagris (helmeted guineafowl)
Lineage: Eukaryota; Metazoa; Chordata; Aves; Galliformes; Numididae
Exons: 3
Source: RefSeq, a predicted model, not a curated record
GUUUUAAUCGGGUGAAUCCUCUCAUGUGGUAAAAGUGACGUUGCUAUGGAAACCAUAUCUGCCAGGAGAGGUGACACCAGCCUGCACGCUGCCGGAGAGGGAAGCGACGAUGGGAUGGCUCAGCCACUUGGCACAGCCCCGACCUCACAGCGAGAGCUCAGCCCAGUGUUGCAUCUUUAUUAAAAGGAACUGCCUAGAAGGAUGCUUCUCAUUUCAGUUUACGCAAGCACACCAUGUCUGGCUGAUGUCUGUGGCACUGGAGGAUGGGUUUGCCAGGACCCGGCUUUCCUUGGGGGCACCGCUGGAGCCCUGAGUGUUGGUCCAGAUUACUAUGCAGAAAGAACAGUUAUUGAAAUCAACACCAUCAGUGUGCUGACAUAACAUGAGUGCAACAAUUCCCUUUUCUAUAGGGCUAGUUUCAGUUUAUUAUAACUGAAUAGAAAUGGAUAAUAUCAUCCUACAAGCUUGACUUCCACGAAGGAGACUUUCAGCAAGAAGCUCCAACAUCCGAAGCCAUAUCAUAGGUCUUUUGCAGACCAUAUAGAGCUGCUGGUGGGAGCGCCCUGUGGGCCAGCCCUUAUCUCGGUAUAGGGUUUCAGUGGUUUGAUGGUUUUCAUCCAGCCUCAUCCAUUGGGUGAUCACAUUGUAACAAAAGGAGCCUGGAAGAGUCAUAAUCCAGUUCAUGGAAAAUAAUCUCACUGUCUAACUGCUCCACUUUGAACCUGCAUCACUGCAAACAACAUUAAGGACUCUUAGCUGCUGCUCAAGUCGUGCAGGAUAUCACAAUGAGUUUUGUGAAAGCUGUGGUUGCGUCCCAGUUGGUUUCCAUGCCUCUGCUCUCCUCUGGGGUUGCUGGAUAUGGUGCCAGGCAGCAGGAAAGGCAGUGCUGUGCUCAUUCCCAACUUCCAGGGAAGUCUCACUGGGAAUCCAUCAGCUUCUGCGGAUGUUUGAUGUUCUCUAGCGAAGCAAGUCGUUUCUUAAUGGUUUAAUUGAUCUUUGUGGCUGAUAAGAGGAAUACUUUUGUACCUGAUCUGCCCUAUCAUACCAUGUGUAUUUUUAGGUGGUUCACGUAAAGCAGAUUAAAUGAAAAACAAAGAAGGCUCUGUGCCUGAGAAGUGCCUGCGUUAGCAAAUGAUUAUUUCAGUACCUGUAGAUUUUGGAAUCACCCUUUUUUUUAAUAAAACAUGUGAAUAAAAUUUAAGCAGAAAAGCGUUAUAGCAGGAAUGCCUGGCACUCUUCAUCCUCCUGAAGCGUGCUCACCUACACAGGGCUAACUGGACUGUGCUCUGAAAGACCCUGUUCAGAAAAAGGGGAAAAUGCCCCAAGCUGAUGCCCUUCAUGUGGUGGUGGGAAACAUGAGAAGUGCCAUCAUUCUGCCUCCCCACAGCACAU